ACUCAAAGGAAUUGACGGGGGCUCACACAAGCGGUGGAGCAUGUUGCUUAAUUCGAGGCAACGCGAAGAACCUUACCUGGGUUUGACAUGCUUGGAUUAACCCCGUGAAAGCGGGGCCACACCCUUCGGGUGGAACAAGCACAGGUGCUGCAUGGCUGUCGUCAGCUCGUGCUGUGAAGUGUCAGGUUAAGUCCUUUAACGAGCGCAACCCCUAUCGUUAGUUGCUCACGGGUCAUGCCGAGUACUCUAGCGAGACUGCCGGUGUCAAACCGGAGGAAGGUGGGGAUGACGUCAAGUCCUCAUGGCCCUUACAUCCAGGGUUGCAAACGUGCUACAAUGGCGCGCACAAAGCGACGCAAGAGCGCAAGCUGGAGCAAAUCGCAAAAAACGCGCCCCAGUUCGGAUUGCGGGCUGCAACUCGCCCGCAUGAAGUCGGAAUCGCUAGUAAUCGGAGAUCAGCUACGCUCCGGUGAAUGUGUUCCUGAGCCUUGCACACACCGCCCGU
Molecule: ribosomal RNA, 505 nt
Filed under: uncultured bacterium
Lineage: Bacteria
Description: partial 16S ribosomal RNA
Rfam family: Bacterial small subunit ribosomal RNA
Source: RNAcentral